GCGCCCAUAGCUCAGCUGGAUAGAGUGCCGCCCUCCGAAGGCGAGGGGCGCACGUUCGAAUCUUGUUGGGUGCGCCA
This 77-nucleotide transfer RNA is filed under the name Nitrosomonas sp. RNAcentral's name for it is "tRNA-Arg". It matches the Rfam family "tRNA". From Rfam's summary of the family: Transfer RNA (tRNA) molecules are approximately 80 nucleotides in length. Their secondary structure includes four short double-helical elements and three loops (D, anti-codon, and T loops). Further hydrogen bonds mediate the characteristic L-shaped molecular structure. tRNAs have two regions of fundamental functional importance: the anti-codon, which is responsible for specific mRNA codon recognition, and the 3' end, to which the tRNAs corresponding amino acid is attached (by aminoacyl-tRNA synthetases). tRNAs cope with the degeneracy of the genetic code in two manners: having more than one tRNA (with a specific anti-codon) for a particular amino acid; and 'wobble' base-pairing, i.e. permitting non-standard base-pairing at the 3rd anti-codon position. The record is from RNAcentral. Lineage: Bacteria; Pseudomonadati; Pseudomonadota; Betaproteobacteria; Nitrosomonadales; Nitrosomonadaceae.